Molecule: long non-coding RNA, 263 nt
Organism: Carlito syrichta (Philippine tarsier)
Lineage: Eukaryota; Metazoa; Chordata; Mammalia; Primates; Tarsiidae
Exons: 3
Source: RefSeq, a predicted model, not a curated record
CCGUGGGGCGGGUCCUGGCUGCCCAGGUGUGGCCCGGGUCCCCCGGGGUGAGGGCAUCACGGCCCCCUGCGGUGCCUGGUUGGAGCCAGAAGCUGCAACAGACGCCAACAGCCGCAGAGACGUGAAUAGGGACUGGAGUAAAAGAUGUGUAGGGCAACGUGGAAGAGGAGCAGUGAGGAGAUUCUGCUAUGCCUCCCAUAGAAUGCCUUUUAACCUCAAAGCUGCCAAGAUAAAUAUCUAUGGAGUCUCACUCUCUUGUCCAG